AGAUUGAACGCUGGCGGCAGGCCUAACACAUGCAAGUCGAGCGGUAGAGAGGUGCUUGCAUCUCUUGAGAGCGGCGGACGGGUGAGUAAUGCCUAGGAAUCUGCCUAGUGGUGGGGGAUAACGUUCGGAAACGGACGCUAAUACCGCAUACGUCCUACGGGAGAAAGCGGGGACCUUCGGGCCUCGCGCCAUUAGAUGAGCCUAGGUCGGAUUAGCUAGUUGGUGAGGUAAUGGCUCACCAAGGCGACGAUCCGUAACUGGUCUGAGAGGAUGAUCAGUCACACUGGAACUGAGACACGGUCCAGACCUCCG
Molecule: ribosomal RNA, 312 nt
Filed under: uncultured soil bacterium
Lineage: Bacteria
Description: bacterial SSU rRNA
Rfam family: Bacterial small subunit ribosomal RNA
Source: RNAcentral